RNAcentral lists this ribosomal RNA (497 nucleotides) under uncultured bacterium. RNAcentral describes it as "partial 16S ribosomal RNA". It matches the Rfam family "Bacterial small subunit ribosomal RNA", at positions 28 to 507 of the family's 1533-position model. The record is from RNAcentral.
GAUGAACGCUGGCGGCGUGCCUAAUACAUGCAAGUCGAGCGAACAGACGAGGAGCUUGCUCCUUUGACGUUAGCGGCGGACGGGUGAGUAACACGUGGGUAACCUACCUAUAAGACUGGGAUAACUUCGGGAAACCGGAGCUAAUACCGGAUAAUAUUUCGAACCGCAUGGUUCGAUAGUGAAAGAUGGCUUUGCUAUCACUUAUAGAUGGACCUGCGCCGUAUUAGCUAGUUGGUAAGGUAACGGCUUACCAAAGCAACGAUACGUAGCCGACCUGAGAGGGUGAUCGGCCACACUGGAACUGAGACACGGUCCAGACUCCUACGGGAGGCAGCAGUAGGGAAUCUUCCGCAAUGGGCGAAAGCCUGACGGAGCAACGCCGCGUGAGUGAUGAAGGUCUUCGGAUCGUAAAACUCUGUUAUUAGGGAAGAACAAACGUGUAAGUAACUGUGCACGUCUUGACGGUACCUAAUCAGAAAGCCACGGCUAACUACGUG